RNAcentral lists this ribosomal RNA (355 nucleotides) under Hymenosoma geometricum. RNAcentral's name for it is "partial 12S ribosomal RNA". Lineage: Eukaryota; Metazoa; Arthropoda; Malacostraca; Decapoda; Hymenosomatidae. The record is from RNAcentral.
CCCUAUUAUUUUUAAAUUAGAUUUUACUAUUAAAGUAGUUAUUUCCUUAGAAUAAAAAGAAUUUGGCGGUAAUUUAGUCUAGCCAGAGGAAUUUGUGAUUUAAUCGAUAUGACCCGUUGAAUUUCACUUACUUUAAAAGUCUGUAUACCGUCAUUAUCAAAUAAUAUUUAAAAAUAAUUAUUGAGUUCAGUUGAACUGUAGAAAUUAGAUCAUGGUGCAGCUGAUAGGUAAGGAAUUAUGAAUUACAAUAAAUCUAUUUAUACGGAUUAGCGGUUGUAAGGGCCCUAUAAAGGAGGAUUUGGUUGUAUUCAAGGCUUAAUAUACCUUUAAGAUAUAAGGUCUAAAUUAUGUACAC